Molecule: non-coding RNA, 418 nt
Organism: Triticum urartu
Lineage: Eukaryota; Viridiplantae; Streptophyta; Magnoliopsida; Poales; Poaceae
Source: RefSeq, a predicted model, not a curated record
UGGGGAUUCGUUAUUCUCCGAGGUUGGCGGGCUCGACGCGAGGCUCGAUGGGCUGCGGGAUUGUCAAGCAGGCGGGUGAUUGCUCAACGAUGACUGGAGACGAUCUUCGGUAUUACAACUGGUUUAUACCAAUGGGUUAUUUGCAUCUCAAGUUAAAUUAGUCACUGUUGAUCAACAAUGAGAUGUGGCCAUUGUUUGAUGGAUCAUUGAUGGUACGGAUGUGCAAUGAAACAAUGAUAUACCCACUGUAUUGGACCCAAACACCUUCCUGAAAAUUGUUCUGAAGGGGUUAGCACAAGGAAACUAUUGUUAUGACUUGCGAGGUCUGCUGGAGGUGACCGGAUCCGGAUGACUUGAGCAAAGCUGUGAAAAUUCACGGCAAGGGAUGGGGGUACAAAUCAUGGGUCUGCGGCGCCAC